Molecule: long non-coding RNA, 25241 nt
Filed under: Mus musculus (house mouse)
Lineage: Eukaryota; Metazoa; Chordata; Mammalia; Rodentia; Muridae
Description: predicted gene 45159
Source: RNAcentral
CCUUCUAGUCAUUGAGGCUCCCGGGAAUCAAGCUCAUAAUAAAUAGCUUUUUAUUACCCAAAGCCGCUGUUCUGGCAGCCGAACGACAGUCCUUUGAUAGAUGGGCCGGGUAGUUUUAUUGUGUUGUGCUUACUCAGAGUUGUUAGCAGUAAAGAGAAGGCAGCAAAAGGGGGGUACUUUGGCAAAGGAAAUCUUAUGAGUAGAGCGGAGCAGCAGAUCAGAAUUCAGAAACAAGAGCGAGAGCUGAAGUGUGAUUCUCGGGCGGGCGCUUGGUCUAACACUCAUCUCCAGGAUAGAGCAGUGCCGGGCACUCGCGUCAGCCCUGCUGCCCUUCUCGGAAUCCGCUAAGAGAUGAUGCAGCCUUGGAGCCCAGCAAGCCACCAGGAAGUUUUGCCGGAUCUGAUUCCUGGGGGAUUUUCCCGUGCCUAGGAGAAUCCUGCUUGCAUUGAGCUGUAUGGAGGGCUCGAGUUUCCCAUGAGGGGCCCCCCUUGGGAAAGCCUUCUGUGCAGAAUCCAGACUCUGCUUCUCUCAGUGUGCUAUUUACCCAAAGGCUUUUCCUCACCUUUGCUGGUUUGCUGGUGUGAUUUCCAUGCACUGAGUCCUGUGUAGGGAUCCAGGAUGGAUUGCCUGUGCAUUGUCACCACAAAGCAAAACCAAGGCAAAUGCCCAGCCCAGAACUGUUCAGUGGAAGCCCCUACCUGGAUGCCUGUCCACCACUGUACUGUAAGUUACUUCAAGACUGAUUACAAUAAAAGAGAGAUGUUGUUUUAUUCUAGAAUAACCUUCUGGAAUGAGCUAGAAUAUGGUUUAAAACUUUAGAGUAGGGAAAACAUUUUGAUAAGAAAAAAAAUGCCUUUUCAGACAGCAGUAUAUUAUAAAGUCACCACGAUUAGGGAAUCUAUUUUGAGUCAGGAAACUUGCAAAGUACCUCUCUAAAUGAGUUAUUGAUGAGUUAGGUUUGCAUGGUCAUUAAAAUGAAUAUGUUUGCACAUGUGUUUUUCCAAAUAGUUGCAUAUCCAGCACUAUUUGAUCUUGAGAUGCAUUGGAGAAGAGGCUUUUAUUUUAUCAUUGUUUUGUUGACUGCUUAAUCGUGAUGAGUAAAUGGACUUGCAAAUUCCAAGUCUUCCUGGAGUAAUAAUAGACUCUGCAUUUGUGUGGACUCUACUAUCUGAGAAUUAUUCAAGUGCCUGUGAACUAAGCAGGUACUAUGCUAUUAUCCUUGGGUUGCAGAUAGAAGACUUAACCACACAGGGAGCAAGAAUAGCACAUCAAUUGCAGAGCUGGCAAGAGAUGCCAGAUACCCUAACUCUCUUUUCCUGUGCUUACUCUAUUACAUUGUGCAGUGAAGUAAAUGAAAGAAAGAGACUGAUUUGUAUGAUAGUCUCUUACCCAUGCCUUGCCUGAUAGAGAUGACAGUGGCACCUCUGGGAAUUAUCUUUGCUAUAGCUAACACUUUGCCGGGCAUGAAAUAAUGUGUGUGACAUGGACAAGAAAUCAGAAAGCCACUUUGCAGCAUUGCUCUCAUUUAACCCUCUCUAUAGGAGAUCUAGAAGUGAUGUACGGAGUCAACUAAAUACUUGCAUCUAUUGUUGAAAAACAAGCUGUGCAAAGGGGCCUCUUGACUGCCAUGACGGGCCUUUUGUGGUGUUGGAAAGUACAAUUGGGGGAGGUUAAUUUUCCUUGAGAUCAUGUAAAGGACUCUUCCUUCCUUGCCUUUGUUAGUAUCAGGGAAGAAGGGAAGAUGGGAUCACCUUUAGUCAAGGAGAUGAUAAAGCUAAAUUUUGGAGGGAUUCCUGCUGUGCAGAAGCAGUCUAGACUUGCCAGAGGCUGAAAAAAUAAAAAUGUCGCAUUUUUGCAAGCAGAUGGCCAGAGGGGAGUGUGUGCAUAGGGACUCUGCUGCUGCCAGGGAGAAGAUGAGUUUUAAUAGUUUUAGUUCUUCAUCAGUCACUCCUUUUAUUGUGUCCUCAAUGACAUUAUCUUACAGGUACUGAUUCAUAUGUCUGUUUAUUCAAGGAGACUACAUGCUUUUCAGGCUCCUAAUGUACAAAUUCCUAAGUAAGUCCAUUUUUACAGAAGGGCCCUGAUCUGAAUCUUUAGUAUGCUGUUAGCUGGUAUCUUUAGUAAGUGUGUAUUUGAAUGUGAGCUUUGGUAAGCUUUUUUUUUUCACUCAAAUAUUUCUUUACAAAGAGGAAUAGUCCUGCUAUCUGGCCAUUUGGGGUUGAGUUUUCAUUCUGGAAUCAAAAUAACUUACAGAUGACUUCUCUACUGCGUUACUGGUGUUUUACACUUGGACUGUUAUUGAAAUCAGAAGUAUUUGACAUCAGAUGGGACUUUUUGUCUAUUUCCUCCCACAGAGUUCAUCACACAAAAUAUGUGCUUUGAGAAAUUUACCUUUGGACUAGAAAAAAAUAGUAAUUAGUAUGCAAAUUUAUGAUGAUAUAAUCAUGAACUAAGUUGUUUCCACUUUCUUAUACUCUUUAAUAAAGUAGUGUCCCUGCUCUAUCAGAUACACCCGUGUGUAACACCGAUAAGAUUUUUUUUAUCUGUAAUCCAAAGUAAGGGAACCCUGGCAACAUAUUGUUAGAAUAUGGUCUUUGGGGCUACUGAAAAUAGUUUUUCUUCUUCAUUCAUGCUCUUAGGAGCCAGAGAAUUCCAGAUUAGGUCUUCCUAAUGUAGGAACUUAAGGAAUAAAUAGAUGACUACAUUUUAAGAUGCUUUCUGUAGAUCAUGAGCCAGUCUUGUUGACACUAAAAUCUAGUUCCUAUCUGUGUCCACAAAGAAGCCUUAGAAACUAAAUGUGGCUUCUGCUUUGGGAUUGAGAGAUGCUGGCUUGAUGAAUUUUCCCUAUCAUUAUUUACAAGUAAUCAUAUUCCCUAGUGAGGAAGGUACCACCGGAAGACCAAUGCAGUACAUAAUGAUUUGUUUCUCUGCAGGUAACUCCCCCAACCACAGAGGUAGCCUUUCAACGAGCACUAUUGGAGUGUUUGAGCCUGCUCUACCCAUUUCCCUGGCAUAUACUAAAACCAGCAGAGAUAGAUGGAUUUUUGUUUUUGAGAAUCUAUUAUUUAUCCUAAGGAUACUAAUACCAGCAGUUACUAAUACCAAUGGAGAUAGAUGGAUUCUUGCUUCUGAGAAUCUAUUAUUUGUCUUAAGGAUAGACAGGAGUGUAUUGCUAUUGACUCACAUGAAUGAACAUUUCAGGAAGUAUUUUGUGAUCCUCUUGGAACUGGCCAUUCUAAGUUCUUACAUCUUCAGAAAUCUGACUGUGAAAAGGUUCUAAUGAUUAAUAGACAGCCCUAAGUUUCUGUUCAAAUCUUUCCCCUCAAAUUAUUGGCUGUAUAUAUUUAUUAGGGGUUUGACUGUUUUUAUAUUUACUUCCAAAAGAAAAAUGUCAUCAGCAAUACUUAUUAGUCUCCAAUCCCAUUCACCAAAGUUCGUGCUUUAAGUCUCAGACAGACAUUUCCAAAAGCUAAGAUUUAAAAUUUUAUAAGUCUAUUAAUUUCAGUGAUCUAAUUCUUUGCAAAAGUUAGAUGUAUAAAAAAAUCACCAAAGAUGAACUUGAUAAUGAUAUGUUUUAUGAUAGUCAAAAAUAUGAAUCUAACUAUGUCAUAAGCUCACACAGUUAUAUAACAAAAUCUGCAAGUAGGUAAAACAGUUUUGGCAUUAAUUUUCAUUUUGUUAUCUCUGAGGAAAAAGUGAAAUUCAUAACUUCAUGUUUUUAAGAAGAUGUCUUAACUGUCUCAAACCCUCUGAGACUGAACCAAGUUAUAAAUAAAUUAAUACAUUCUUACAUAAUAAAUGAAUAGACUCUAUUAUCUUUAUACAUUUCUUUGGGUGCAGUUGAUUCUCUAUUAUAUUCAUUAUCUGUUGUACUUGUGAUUUUUUGGGUUCUAUUCUGCAGUGAUUGUAAUUGAAUUUUAUUUAUUUUUUAUUAGCUAUUUUCUUUAUUUGCUUUUCAAAUGUUAUCCCCUUUCGUAAUUUCCCCUUACUUUAUGUGGAAUUGUGUGAAUCUACAUAUGUGUAUAUGCAAUAGUUUCACUUAUACUACUAGAAUAACUACAAUGUUUGCUAGUGAGGAGCAUGGUGAUUUAUCUCUCAUGUGUGAGUACAUAUAUGGUUAGAGUGGGCACUAGAGCUAAACUCUUUCUUACCCCACAGUUUAACUGGUGGAAUACCCUGUUACUUUGUAUGGUCAUGAGUAAGAUAUCAGUGGUUAUGACUCUCUGUUACUUUUAAGCAGUUGAGAAAAUGUCCAUGCAUUCUGGGGCCUAGGUGAAGACAGGUGAACAGUUCAUCAAAAGAUGAACUUGGCUAGAGAGUAGCUCUUAGCACGUGACAUUCAAGAACAUUGAACUUAACCAAUUUCAAGGAAGUUGGGUGGCAUUUUAAGGCAUUUUUAUAGACUGCAUGUUAUGGCUAUAGCCUGUACAUGUACUUCAAUUUAUUGAGGACUACCCUCAGUCAAACUUUGGUUAUUUGACUUUACCUAGACAUUACAUGGCUGUAAUAUGUGAUUGGACUAACCAAGAGCAAGUAAUCAAGAAUAACUAAGAGUAAGAGGUACUCAGUAGUAACCUGACUACAAAAAUUACAUCUACACAUUUCUGUCAUUUACUGGAACUUGAAAAGUAAUGUUAAGAGAAGAAUUUUUAAAAGAUAGAUUGAAAAUAAGUUCUCUGCUACUAGGGAGUUUAUCAAAGAUACUGCCAUGUCUAUAUAUUGUUAUAUAUUAUUCAUGUUUAUUGCAGUAAGUCUGUUACAUAAUUUUUAAAAUUCAUGUAAGUAUUUGAAAAUUAGAAUAUUAUGCUCCCAGUAUAUGAAAUUUUGGUUAUUCUCUUAUUUAGCACAUGUUAUGAGGUAUAAAAGAUCCUUGGAUUUCUCAAUAGAUGACAGAAAACAAUACAUGCCAAUAAUACAUAUAUUUGGUACCUCAUUGUAUAACAACAAAAGCUAUAAAUUUUUCUUGUCCACUGUUUUCUUUUUAUUUCCAGUGCAAUUGAUGCCACUUAACUUUGCAUAAAGCUCACAUACCCAGCCCAAGGCUCUCAGAAACACAUAGCCAUCAGGAAAUCACAUUGUGUCUGCUCUCUGGGAGUUUUCAGAGUUCCCAUGAGGACAGAACCACUGGCUAACUCUUCUGCUGGGAAAUUAGACUCAUAAUGGCUUUGAUGAAUAUUGCCUUUCCAACAACUGGGCACAAUUUUUAUUUUUUAGGGCACAGUUUUGAUACUAUAAACAGUCUCUUUAUGGAGUGAAAAGUUAGGCCAUUAUCAGAUGAUCAUAGUUUUAGGAAAAUUACAGAAAAUUGCAGUAUAGAGGACCUUAAAUUGGUGAGCACUGCGUGUAUCUGGCCAUAUGGGCAUCAGUCAUGGGUUUGGAAGAGACUCUGAAAGAGAAUUAUCUCAGGAAAAAGUCCAAUACACUUUAAUAAAUGGGAGCUCUGUGGAUAGCUCUGGUGUCAAUUUUGCUGUACUCAUGGGCUGGACAUCAAGAAACUAUGUUGAAGAUAGGAUAGAUGAAUAGGUAGUCUAUUUUCUUUCUUUACCAGUCAUUUCACUUUAGAUUUAUAUUAGUUUUCUCUCUGGGUUUAAAAGACUUCUGAGACCUGAAGUACUCACAUAAAAUGUUUCUGUUACACUGAGCUUUGAAACAUACCCAGAAAAGACGCUCAGUGGCAUUCAUGGAGAGGGGCAUCGGUCCAGGUAGAUGAUACAAAGACAUUCUCAGCUAACACAUAUAAAAACUAGCAAGGAGAAUAGGAGGCAUAAAAGCUUAUAGGGAAGUAAGCAAAUCCAGAGGUGUCAGGAUCUGAAGCUAAGAGGCAGGGUGGUCACCAAUCAUGAGGAAAUCAAAGGCAGGCUCACCGUAAAACUAAGCUCAACAAAGUUGAAGCUCCAUGUUCUGAGCUUUCUUUCUUCUGUAUGCUUACUAAAUAUUUUAAUUCUAAUUAUUUUUUACACAAUUUGACUUAUAUUUGGACCUCACAAUCACCUGUCUUUUCAAAAUGUUUCCUUUGGCCAUCCUAUAUAUACUUGAUAAAAUUCAAAAGAAUGUGACUGUUAAAAAAAUAUUUUCUGUGUGUUUUCAUGAGUAACUUCUGAGUUUAUCUGAGCCUACAGUAUAGCUGUUACAGUGUUUAGGACAUUUUAUGUUCUUCUUAUUUAUUCAUAUUCUUUACUUUCUUCAAAUUACUGUAGAGCAUAUAGUUUAUCCAUGUAAAAAGCAAAAUUAAGUGAUAUUCUUUUGUUCAUUCAUAGAAUUGUACAAGUUUCACCUUAAUGAAUUUUAGAAUAUGUUCAUGACCCUCAGAGAAACUCUACCCCCCUUAGUAGUUACUCUGUGGCCAAUGUCUCUCUUCUCCCAGAAGUAAGGAUCUAUUUUCCCCCUCCCAGAAUUGCGUAUUCAAGGCCAUUCCUAAAGAUAGACUUGUGUAAUAUGCAGCCUUUUGCAAUUGCUUGCUUUAACUUUCAUAUAUUCUCAAGGUCCUUAUAUCAUUACAAGUAUCUAUCUUUUAUUACUUGAUUGGUGGAUAGUUGUCUGUUAGCUGCUGUGUAACUAUUCGGUUAUAAUACUUCUUUUAAUCCAUUUAUAGUCAACAGACACAAGAAAUGCUUGCAUCUUUGAACAUCAUGAGUAAUGGCAUGAAUAUUCUUUUGUGAGUUUUUAUGUGGUUAUGUGCUUUCUGUUUUAUUGGGUAUUUGCAAAAUUAUAUUUUGGGUCAUAUGGCGACUUUAUGUAUAGUAUUAUAAAGAAUGUUCAAGCUGCUUUUAAAAGCAGUUAUAUAAUUUUAUAUUCUCAGGAACAAUAUAUGAGUGUUUUGUUUUCUAUACAUUCUUAUCAAUUCUUGUUAUUUCUUACCAUUUUAUUGAAGACAUAAUAAUCUGAAAAGAUUUUUGCAUGCCAGGCAUGGUGGCACACGCCUUUAAUCCCAGCACUUGGGAGGCAGAGACAGGUGAAUUUCUGAGUUUGAGGCCAGCUUGUUCUACAGAGUGAAUUCCAGGACAGCCAGGGCUACACAGAGAAACCCUGUCUCAAAAAAAAUAAUAAUAAUAAGAUUUUUUUGCUUUAGAGUUGGUUUGAAUUUACCUAAAAUUAAGAAUGUUGAAUAUCUUUUAAUCUACUUAAAAACCAUUUUUAUUGUAGUUGUAAAAACAUCUAUAUAAAAUUCUUUCUCCAUAUCUAAUUAUUUUAUGUUAUUGAAAUAUGAAACUCCUCCUAUGUCCUGCCCAACAUCUAACAGGUUUAUAAUUGUAAUAUUUUCUGUUCAAGUAUCCUCAUUCUUUAACCAUGUAUUGGCACUGUUAUCUGGACUAUGACUUUUAAAAAAUUUAACAAAUCCUAACAUAACCUCCUGAAAACACCAUUUUAAUGAACCUAUGUGUAACUCAAGGUCACAGAGACUAUCUCUGAUAUUUUCUUCUCAGCAUUUUACAGCUUUAGCUCUCACAUUGUUCCCUCCGAUCAAUUUGGAGCUCAUUUUUGCAUGUGGUAUGUGCAGAUAUUUAAGUUCAUAGUUUUUCUUGUUGAAAAAAAGUCUAUUCAUUCCUCACUGGAUUAACUUGGGGACUCUUUUUUUGAAAAAGAUGUUAAGUAUGAAUAUCUUUGUGGAUUUCAUUCUUUCCUACUGAGUUGAUGUCUCUCCUUCUACUUGGUAUAAGCUAACAAUCAUUGAGAAGCCACCACUGUAGUGUUGAUGUCAACAUCAUAAAAAUUUUAAUGCUCACAAGUUAUUUGUUUGCUCCAAGCCAUGAAAGUAUAAUGAGAGAAAGGUGAUUUCAAUAUAAUCUAUUUAACUCAAAAACUCUUAUCUUUUCUAUAACACUGGGUUUUUUAGUGAUGGGUGUGUUUACUGCGUUUUCUGCUUAGUUUUUUAAGGCACAUGUAUUGGAUCAUUAUGAUUCAUUAAUACCUUAUUUCAACCAUAUUUAUGCACAUCUUUAAUAGUCACAGCCAUUAUUUACCUAGCUAAUUGUGUGAUACAUAUUAAUAAAGAAAAUGCACAAAAAUUCAUAGGAGGCCAUCAAUAAAACUUGUUGCAUUAGCAUGUAUAAAAAAAGCUAGAAGUGAGAAAGGAAUAAGAUACUAAAAUCAAGUUCAAGCUCUUCAACUCUUCAGUAGUAUGGAUUGGUAUGUUACUUCCUUAUACCUAAUAUUCACAAAUAUUGAUCACAAGUCAACACAGGCAAAGCUAAAAUUAUACAUAAAACUCUCCAAGUUAAAAUUACACAUAAAACUCUCCAAGUAGACAUCAUAAUUACUGUUGUGUUUUCUAAGUGCAGUCAGUGGUCCCAUUAUUCAGGUUUAAGAAAAAACUGCUAUCUAACUGUACAUUCCAUUUGCAGGAAGCAUAAAGCUUAUAAACUCUUCAGUUAAUUAUGACAAACUGGAAGUAUGGUUCAAACAUAGAUAAACUCCAAGGGAGGUUCUCAAUCCAUUCUGCAGAGCUCAAUUGAAUUUAUGCUUUUAGCCAGCAGUGGUCUUGGAGGACAGACAGAUGGUAUUAGAACAGGGACCCUGAUGGUGCAUGCAAUGUUAGCUUUGGUUGAUACCAUCACUUACUAUCAGCAGCAUGCAACGUUCUGUUAUCUGUUAUUCUAUUAUGUGUUGGCAUUACAGAGGAUUUGAAAUGAAGCUUAAUAAUUACUCAACCAAAACCUUUACCCACUACUAAAGGAGAGCGGGUUGAUAUAAAGGAAUGAGAUGUGGACUCAAACAAAAAGAUUGUUGACAUCUUUUACUAGCUUUAUGACUCUUUAUCAAGUUAGCAUAGCAAUUAACACAUACUUCAAUUUCAGAAUUUUAUUUCAAAAUUGGAGAUAACAUAUGAAUGAAUCUUAGUUUUUGGUAAAUACACACUACAGGUUAAUUUUGAAAGUUGGGUUAUUAUUACCAGCAAUGAAGAUAUCUCAAUGUGGCUAUAGUUUAAGUUCUACUGGUUCUCAAAGAGACCUGAGUAAUGAAAUAUGGCAAAUUGGUCUACUUUCAAUUCAUCCCAAAGCCUCUAGAGUACAAUUGAGAAUACAAAGUUUGGAAAUGUAAAAGGGUUAACCUGCAAACAGGAUAAAGGUGUUUUUUUUUUCCCCUGAUAGUCAUUUUUUAUAACUUCUAUAAUACCGAAAGCCUUUUCUGAAUUAAGAACUAGUGUUAUAUUUGUGUUGUCAACUUAAGUUCCAGAGAGCUAUCUUGGAAGAAAUAAUUCCACUCUCCCUUGUUGAAAGAGCCUCCCGACCCAUGUUUGGUUUGGAUUUGGAGUACACAGCAUACAUAUAAGAUGAUGCAGAUUCACUAUCCUGAAUGUAAAGCUCAUCUCUCUUAAGAACACUCCGUGUAUCACUUUCUUACUGUUAUCUGCUUUCUUGUUUGCUGGUGUUAGAUCUCCAGGGCAAAUCCACAGACACAUGGAGAGCUUUCAAUUUGCAUAUUGAUGACUAUUCACAGACCAGCUAGAGACAUGAAUGACAAAUCUUCCAAAGAGUAAGCCCACUCAAAGCCGAAAUUGUACAAGCAUAGGGCCUGGGAAAGGGUACAUACUGAUCACAUACUUUUAUAAAGAAUAUAUCUUUGUGAUAUUGUUGCACCUAACUUAUAAAUUUAAAAAGGGUUAAAGCCAGGUAAUGUUAAACAACUCAACUGGACAAAAUUAACAUGGGAGCUCCUUAUAUGCCUUCCUUGGGCCUGCUUUCUCUUCUCUCUGUGCUGUCCUUUGAAUUGUGUGCCAACGUGACUCAUUAGAUUUAGCCUCAGUCAUUCCUGAUAAGUGAAACUAUUCCAGGAAGCCAGGUCUAGCAACAGGCAGCUUCCUACUCCCAGUACAGAGUGGGAGUUAAUGCCAAACUUCUUGACGCUGUCUCCAACUACCUUUAGCCUCAGUGGAAUUGUACUAAAUAUUUGGACAAAAUCUGGCCCACAGUAAACUUGUAAUGAUGCUUGGCAUUACAAUGGAACUUUAAUUGCUGCAGUUCUUCCAGGAGGUCCUAACUGGCAGCAUGUAAUGUGAUCCCAUGUUUGCUGUGUAAUAAAAGCCCCCACCCCAGGCUAAGUACAACACAUUCAUUUAAUCAAAAACUCAAAUUAUAUGGAAAUAUUCAUGUCUCAAAACGGUUACUACUCCACUAUGUCCAUAAAGAAAACUAUAUAUAAAUAUUUGAAAACCCUUACUUGCUGAUCCGUGUAUAUUCAAACACCUCUGAACAAACACCUAAGUAAGAAGUUACUGCUAUUUGUAUCUGGAUUGGAUGAACCUCUCAACGUAUGGGAAGUAAAUGUGCUAAUUUAUUUUGAUAGUUAUUUUAAAUUGCAUUUUGGUGAAGCAAAUAUUUUGCAUAAUCUAAUAUCCAUGCCUUAAUUAAAUAUAUACUAUAAAAACACUUUCUUAAAAGACGUUCAGAGAAGCAGUUUGCCUCUGCAAUGAAUUUGGUCACACACCAUUGUUCUUUAGGUAGUGUCAGCAUUUUCAUUAAAAGCUGUACUCUAUUUAUAGCCUGGAAGGAAAAAUGCAUUCCGGGCUAAAACUUCAUGUACAAAAUGUUUUUCCAAAAGCGGUUUUGUAAGGUACACAUAGAUGGAAGUUUUAUAACUGUCUGAAAUCUCAAGGUUUAGAAGGAAACCCAUGAGAAGCUGACAGAGAAUUUCAUUUAUUCCUGCCUCAUAUGUAUCAGGAUAGCACACAGCAUCUGGGAUGAGAGCUGGGCUAUGAAGAGAAUAUAGUUCUCUGUCACGAAGCCAGAAAGUCAGGAUUCUUGGAUUUCACUUCUGGUUGGUCUAUUUGAUAUAGAUCAGAAGCAGCAUGGAUUCUGUGGUCACUUAGAAUGAGGCUACGAUUCCGUCUCUGCUGCUUACACAGUUUGGGGAAUUUCUUAAGCCUGUAGGGUGAGCAGGAUACACUCACUGACAAGUUGGAUGUCAUUGGACUGUGCUUAUUUCUUUUUUAAAUUCUAUUCAUGGCUGUUUGAAACUGCAUAUUCCGUUUUCCUCUGUUAGUGGGAAUCCUUAUUCUGAAAAUUUAUUUUAAAUGAAUGGUUUUUCUAAAUGUAUUUUGCCAAAAUGAAGUUUUCAGAGAAAUGAUACAGUUAAUUCCAUUCCACCUUUAAAGAAGGCAAAGUAUGGUAGAUAAUAUAUGAACAGCUCACAUGAUUUUAGAGUUGUCUAAAAGUCAUCAAUUUUGUCCCUGCAGUUUCCAGUCUAGGGACAUUUAUUACCUUACUCUGUUGACGAAAUGAGCCGAAAUUGCCAUAGUUGACUUGAAUAGAUAUUUGGUAGUCACAUGGAUAAGAUGAGCCCCUUAUAAAGAUAUAUGGAAUUUUGUAGGAUACAGCAAAGCAUUCUCUUUACAGCUACCUAGCUAAAGAAGAACCAUCGGAAGGACUGGGAGUUUGCCGUUUUUUGUUUUCAGAAUUGCUGUAUCCUAGAGCUAGUUCAUCAUAACAACAUACAUUAUUUAGUUUGUACAAACCUAGCUUAUAAUUUCUGGCUAUCUCAUUUCAUUCAUAAAACAAUCUCUUCUCCUUUUAUCCUUAAUUAAUUUGGUGUAUGUCUGCAAUAUACUUACUAUGCCCAGAUACUGUAAAUUCAAGUGGAAGAAAACAGGCAUUGUUCCUUUCUUCAUGGGGGAAGCAGAAAUAGAACAAGUAAGUGUACGUGUAAAGAUAAAUCAGUAACUGGGGUAAUUGCUAUUCAAUUCAAAUAUGUUUGAAAAGAAAAUGAUGUAUAGAAAGACAUCUAAACAGAAUGCUAAUUAAACAUAUAUUUAAAAAGUAAAUCAACUGGGUGGGGAGAGAGGUGAGAGAUGGGGUGGGGGCAGAGAAUGGAGAGAGCUAUUUUGGCAGAAUGAAUAGUAUAUACUUACACGUGUUACAGAAGGUUGCAUUUCUGAAAAACCAGAAGACCACCAUGGGAGUAAAAAAAAUAAGAUUAAUGGGGAGUGGGAAGGAUAGGCAGUGGUAGAAGACACAAGCCAAAGCAUGUUCAGAACUUCACUGAAGUGUUACAGUUUGUAAACUGAGCAGGGAGGAGUGGGUGAGUAUAUGUUGGAGUUCUGAAGUUAUUGUUCUGACAGCUAUAUAAAGAACAGGUGGGAAAUGAAAACAUAGGUGGUAGAUGGUCUCAUUUAAAAACAUAAAAGAAUCUUUUUGCAAAGAUUUUUGCAGAAAUCCGGACAAAAAUAGCUGUGGUGUGAAUUAUCUUGGUGGUGGAAAAACGAGAGAGAUGAACAAAUGUGUGGUGUUUGUGGACAGAUAUUCCAAAACACGGGAUGAUUGCACAAGUAAGUAAAAGGAGGAAGUGUGCUGUCAGAUGAAUUCUGCGCUUUGAUGCAGGUUCCUUUUAAAAAUAGUAGAGGGGGGAGUACGGAAUCUAUUGAAACGUCUCUAGACAAAAAGUUGAAGAAGACAAGAAAGCUAGUAAGUAAAGCACAAAUUCACAGUAGAUGAUUUAGCAAAGGGGUCACGGGACAGCGGUUUCAAUAAGGUGGUAGUGCUGAAGAGUAAGUAAACAUGACCAUUAUAUAUAUUUUGCACUAAUAAAAGCUUACUCUCUGUGGGAAACCAUUGAUGUGCAGUAUGGAAAACAAGAGGUUACAUAUAUAAUAGAUGUGUUUAAUUAAUAACAAAAGUCUCCUUAGAAGAUGGAAUAGAUGAGAGCUAAGGACUGUGUCCUGGUUGGUGUCUGAUAUGUAAGUGCAGAUGGGUACGGAGAGGUACUUGAAUAUAGAAGUAAGUUCGAAUGUGCCAGUGGGAAAUGUUGAGUGGGAUGUCUUCUAUUUACUAUGUGAAAUUGCAGUGAGUGGGCCUGACUGCUGAGAGCGAGAAGUGGGGAGAGGAAGGGACCAGAUGGUAGAAGCAUUAGUAUGAUGCAUAGCAGGAUUAAAUGUCUAGAGGAGAUGAAUGCAGCUUCCUAGGAUGAGCUUAAAAUGAAAGAAAGGGUUUCUCUCCGACCUGUGGAUAGUGCUGUCAGAACAAAUCACUGCAAGGUGGUGUCUCUCUGCUUUGAGUUGGCUGUUGUACAGCUCUCAUGUACCAUCUCACCAUACCACAGGCUUUCCUCAUUUGGCAGGGCACUCUCGCUGUUAAAUGUGCCUGUCUAGUUUCUUGUAAGCACAAAGGGCACCUCCAGGACAGAGAAUAUUUUUAACAUCUAAUGUAGUGUCACAUUUGUAAUAAAGAUUACCAAGAAUUACUGAACUGCUAAAAAUAAAAUCAGGUCAGACAAUUACAUAAUUCAUUGUGCAUAGAAAUGAACAAAACAACAAUAACAGUUCACCAAAUUCCAUGAGACUCAGAGCUAUGAAUGGCCCGAAGCUCUGCUCAUAACAGUUGGGGCAUAAUUCAUAAAAACAAACAAACAUAUAAACAAACCACAAAAAGAUGAAGGACUCUCAUCAUUUUCAUGAUGGGUGAGUAUUCUUGAUCAUUCCUUUUAAAACAAAAACUUCCUAUAUUUGCUUAUUGCUUGUUGGUCUGAUUUUACUGAAGCAUGCAGAGACUAAUAUAAACUUAUGUUUAGUUUUUGAUCAAAUUACCUUUUAACUGUGGUUAAUGAACAAAAUUAAAGUAUCUUAUUAGAUACAUGUCACAUAGGGGACAAAAUUUAUUUUUGGGAAUGCAGGACAAAAGCAUUCACCCUUUUACAAUUUGGGUUUAUACAAUGAAAUACAGGUAUGGCAAACAUUUAUUUUUCUGAUUAAACAGUGACCACCUUUGUUCUUUGAGAAUUGCUAUGUGCUACUUGUUGGGAUUGUUUUUAUUUCCAGAUCCUCCUUAGAGCCUUACAGGAUGAAUCAUAACCAUAUAGCAGAAUAUUCUACUGUUAUGCACUUUCUUUGUACCCUGAUUUCUUGUGAGAAGUGGCCGAACCUUCUUAACUUUCUUUUCUGAAAGGUCAGCAUAGGCCAUCACCUGUGCAUGGUGCUUGGGAGACAUCCUUAAAAGUGAAAACUGUGAAGUUCAGAAGACAGUCAAAGUCAAUGGGAUCUUCUGAGUCUUCACUGUGAUGCAUGUCCUUCCAUUCUCAGCUCUUGGUCUCACUGUUGACCAAGUGAACUGGAGCUGAGUAUUUCUCUGAAUGUCUCCCUGUCCUACAGCUUUCUCACAUGAUUCAUUAUUUCCAUGUAACGGAAAUGGUGUAAAAUUAACUGAUCUCCAUUUUUAUUUCCUAUCUGUGCUACAAUCAAGUAUAUAUAUAAUAUGUGUGUGUAUGUAUGUAUAUAUAUAUAUGUAUAUAUAUAUAUAUAUAUUUUUUAUUUUUUCUAGACAGGGUUUCUCUGUAUAGCCCUGGUUGUCCUGGAACUCACUCCGUAGACCAGGCUGGCCUCGAACUCAGAAAUCUGCCUGCCUCUACCUCCCAAAUGCUGGGAUUAAAAGCAUGUACCACCACUGCCUGGCAAACAAGAACAUUUUAACUGAAUCCUCUUAUUCAUACUUCUCAUAUGUCAGUGCGUGAGCAAAACAGUCUGAAAACCACAACUCUCACCAUCCGACUUUCCCUCUUACCUAAAACCUUUUAAUGGCUUUCCAUUUCAAUCACACGAAUUUCAUAUUGUUGUCAACCACUGGCUUCCUCUGAUUCCUGGGGUAACAGCCUUUCCCUGCGUGCUAACUCAGUAUUUCAGUUCUCCAAAUUUCAAGAAUUCCUGCCUAGGGGCAUUUGCUGCUACUCCAUCAUGUGUCCAGAACAUUUUUCUUCACACACUGAGGAAUGUCUUCUGAGUGUUUAUGCAUCUUAAGGCAAAUGUUACCUGUUAGAGAUACCUUCUUCCCAUAGAUAUCCCCUGGGAUAUCUAUUUCUCCUUCCUUCCUUACAACAAAUUCCCUAUUAUCUUCCUUUAAAAUUUCCCAUCACAAUCAUUCUGCUAUAUUCACUACAGGUUUGUGUUUUUUUAACCUAUUAUAGUGUCUGAGGCAUACACUUUGCUAAGAAUUUGUUUAAUGAUAGAUACUUCAGUAAUAAAUGAAAAUAAAGAAAUUAGUGAACAGAGAAUGAAAAUGGAAGAAGGUAAACCAUACAUGGCUUUGAAUAGACAACCUAGAGAAACAAGCACAACUGUACAUGCAAAGCCAAAGACUUAAACAUGCAGGCUCAAUAUUACAUAACACUUGUUCUCUUCCGCAUUGUUUUGUUGUUCGUAUUUCAGAGUAACUUACUGUGGUCCAAAAAGAUUUAGAUCAUUUUGCAAGUUACAUUUUCUUGGUGUACGUGUUAAGAAGCAUAAUAUCAAUACACCAUAGUCAAUUAAUUAUAACAAGCUGCUUCAUUAAAGAAAAGUUAAGUCCACUGACCUUUGAGUGAUUUGCACAAAUGCUUGUAGGAAUGCAAAGUCAUAAUGGGGAGGGGCACAGGGUUUACAGAAUCAUGAUGCGCCGUUCCUUCCUGAUCAUAGAGUGCGUCUUUAUUUUAAUUGAUAUUUUUUUAUAUGUUCUAAUGAGUCCAGUUUGGGGAGCUAAUAAAUUUUCAUGCUGCACAAUGUUUGGCAGAAUUGUGAUUUCCUUUGGCUGUUCUGUUUUCAAGUAUUCAUUUCUAUUCUUCAUCUAGGUUUUCUUUUACUAAAGGUUCAUAGCACGGGUGUCUACUGUAGUACUUACAGGAAGUAGUUAUGGGUAACUCAGUUUCGCACUCACCUGCAACUAUUGCUUCUGAUCUUGUGUUCCACUAGCUUUGGAUUCUUCAGAACAGUGCAUGUGCAUGUGUACAGAACCCUGGGGGAAAUGAAAACAAAAGUAGACAAAUGAUUUUAAUUUAGUCAUACUAAAAAUAAAACCAAAGUUAUUAUGAUUGGUGGAUUCUAGAAUAUUUUCCAGUGAGCCCAAAUUAUAUGUCAACAAUGAAAAACAGUCAGAAUUAUGAAAAUCCAGGUGAAUAGAAAUUAUAGAAUUAUGUGUGUUAGAAAGCUGAAUAUUGUGACUCUUUAUAUAGCUCAUCUCUUUGUACUAUACACUAACCUGUAGAAACACUCUCUACAAAGGAUCAGCCUACCACACUGGGCUGGGACACAGAUCAGUGCCUUAAUAAACCACUUAAGUCAUACAGAAAAGGUUUUGUUUUUUAAAAUGUAUAUGGGUAUCAGCAGAGAGAUUUACAGCUGGACAAUGUGCAGACAUUGAAGCACUCAGUCCUAAAUGGGCUAUCUUCCUGAAUACCUUCCCGUCUUGGCCCAGAUAUCUAUAAAAGAGAAGGCAGAAAGACUAUACGCAGGGGUUAUAGAUGACUACAACACAGCAGUGUAACCAGGCACAACAGAACUGAUGCACAUAUGAAAUCACAGAGACUGUAGUAGCAAGUGCAAGGCCUGUAUAGGUUUAAUCCGGGGUAGGGGACAGGGGGCAGGGAAGGCUACACUGAGAAGAGAAGUGCACAUAAAGUCUCACUACUAACCAAGAAGCUAUUUACAGUUGCUAACCACUGGCAAAGGGAAAAUUGGUUUUCUUCAGUGGAGUCUCACUGGGUAUAUUUACCACAUUCCAGGCCUUAUGUCCAGAAGAAGUUGGCCAACACAAAACAGCAUGUUGUUGUUGUAGUUGCAGGGGUGAUGUUGGUAGUGGUGGUGGUGGUGGUGAUGUGUGUGUCUGUGUGUGUAUAUGUUUGUGUGUGUGAAUUUCUUGUUUUGUUUACUUUGGGGUGAAGUUUGUUGUUUGUCAUUGUUUAUUGGUCUUUUAAUUAUUUGUUUUGGUGUUUGAAUUUUUAUGGGUAUUGUUUUUAUUUUCUCUUUCUAGUUCUUUUGAGAGGGAUAGAACAUAAAGUUUGUUGGGUAGAGAGCUGGGGAGAAUCUUUGAGGUAAAACAUAUAAUUAUAAAAUAUGUUAUAUAAAAAUUAAUUAGUUAAAGUUGUCAUGUGUAGAAUGGAAAAGACAAUAGACUAAUAAUAAAUCAAAUCUAAUUUAUGGUAUAUCUUCAAUUUUUCUAUGGCACUUAAGAUCAACUAGAAGAGAUGUUUUAGGGACAGGGGCAUUGUGAACUGAAUAAUUUCAGUAAUUUAUUUUGAUUGCAAUAUUCUCUUCAUAAUUCAACCACCUAAAGUUGCUGCUAACACUAUUCAUUUGUCCGAUAUGAAUUACCUAUUCUUUGUAAAAUGUUUUCUAAGAAGGCAUGGUGGUGAAGUGCUGAGAGUCAUUGAAUUUCAAGUCACUGUUGAAAUGCCUGAUCCAUGUUUGACCUUGGACAAGUUGCUUAAUAUUUAAGCUUAGUCUACUCAUACUUUUACUUAUUAUGUUAUUUUAUAAAAGAGUCAGAUGGAAAUAAAACAUUUUCAUUCAAAUUGAAAUAAUUAUAUAAAUCUAUCAACACAUUUCUUGGCUCAGGAUUAGUACUUGGCAAAUAAAUUUUAUUCUUCUACCUCUUGUACUUAUUUUCAUUUUGUAAAAUUAAUACAGUAUUUUCAACAAAAGUAAUGUUUUAUAAUAAGGUGAUGGUUAAAACAUAAAACAUUCGUACUGGUACAGUGACAGACAGGUAGAUCAAUGGAAUAGAAUUGAAGACCCAGAAAUGAACCUACACACCUAUGGUCACUUGAUCUUUGACAAGGGAGCUAAAACCAUCCAGUGGAAAAAAAGACAGCAUAUUCAACAAAUGGUGCUGGAUCAACUGGUAGUUAGCAUGUAGAAAAAUGUGAAUCGAUCCAUUCCUAUCUCCUUGUACAAAGCUCAAGUCUAAGUGGAUCAAGGAACUCCACAUAAAACCAGACACUAAAACUUAUAGAGGAGAAAGUGGGGGAAAAGCCUCAAAGAUAUAGGCAGAGGGGAAAAAUUCCUGAACAGAGCAGCAAUGGCUUGUGCUGUAAGAUCGAGGAUUGACAAAUGUGACCUCAUAAAAUUGCAAAGCUUCUGUAAGGCAAAAGACACUGUCAAUAAGUCAAAAAGGCCACCAACAGAUUGGGAAAGGAUUUUUAUCAAUCCUAAAUCUGAUAGGGAAGUAAUAUCCAAUAUAUACAAAGAACUCAAGAAGCUGGACUCCAGAAAAUCAAAUAACCCCAUUAAAAAUGGGGUACAGAGCUAAACAAAGAAUUAUCAACUGAGGAAUACUGAAUGGCUGAGAAGCACCUGAAAAAAAUGUUCAACAUCCAUAAUCAGGGAAACACAAAUCAAAACAACCCUGAGAUUCCACCUCAUACCAGUCAGAAUGGCUAAGAUCAAAAAUUUAGGUGGCAGCAGAUGCUGGUGAGGAUGUGGUGAAAAAGGAACACUCCUCCAUUGCUGGUAGGAUUGCAAGCUUGUACAACCACUCUGGAAAUCAGUCUGGCAAUUCAUCAGAAAAUUGGACAUAAUACUACCGGAAGAUCCAGCAGUACCUAUCCUGGGCAUAUACCCAGAAGAUGUUCCAACUGGUAAUAAGGACACAUGCUCCACUAUGUUCAUAGCAGCCUUAUUCAUAAUAGCCAGAAGCUGGAAAGAACCCAGAUGUCCCUUAAUAGAGGAAUCUAUACAGAAAAUGUGGUACAUUUAUACAAUGGAGUACUACUUAGAUAUUAAAAACAAUGAAUUUAUGAAAUUCUUAGGCAAAUGGGUAGAUCUGGAGGAUAUCAUCCUGAGUGAGGUAACCCAAUCACAGAAGAACUCACAUGAUAUGCACUCAGUGAUAAAUCAAUAUUAGCCCAGAAACUUAGAAUACCCAAGAUACAAUUUGUAAAACACAUGAGAAUCAAGAAGAAGGAAGACCAAAGAGUGGAUACUUCAUUCCUCAGAAUGGGGAACAAAAUACUCAUUGAAGAGGUUACAGAGACAAAGUUUGUAGCUGAGACUGAAGGAAGGUCCAUCCAGAGACUGCCUCACCUGGGGAUCCAUCCCAUAAUCAGCCACCAAAUGCAGAUACUAUUGCAUAUGCCAGCAAGAUUUUGCUGAAAGGACCCUGAUAUAGCUGUCUCCUGUGAGGCUCUGCCAGUGCCUGGCAAAUACAGAAGUGGAUGCUCACAGUCAUCUAUAGGAUGUAACACAGGGGCCCCAAUGGAGGAGCUAGAGAAAGUACCCAAGAAGCUGAAGGGGUCUGCAACCCUAUAGGAGGAACAACAAUAUGAACUAGCCAGUACUCCCAGAGCUCAUGCCUCUAGCUGCAUAUGUAGCAGAAGAUGGCCUAGUUGGCCAUCAUUGGGAAGAGAGGCCCCUUGGUCUUGCAAAGAUUAUAUGCCCCAGUACAGGGGAAGUCCAGGGCCAGGAAGAGGGAGUGGGUUGGUUGGGGAGCAGGGUCGGGGGAGUGUAUAAGGGACUUUUGGGGUAGCAUUUAAAAUGUAAGUGAAAAAAAAAUCUAAUAAAAAAGAAAAAAAUUUUAAAAAGGAGCAAGAAAAAUAUAAAGCAUUAAUAAUUUAAUAUAUAUGUGAUGUGACAAUUCAUAAGGAGAUGUGUGUGAGUGGAUACUUUAUAGUAGCCUUUUGAACACAGUGUUACUACUUAAGACUGUGGUAGGAAAGCAUUUUAUUGUUUUGCAGUUGAUUGAACCCAGAUUUUUCACUAUUUGAAUUGUAUCAAUUUGCCAUCUAUAGACUAUUGAAAGACUACAAAGACCUGGCAUGGCCAUAGAAUUAAUUGCCUUUCUAUGUAGCCCCUGCAAAGCUUGCAAGGCAUAAAGAUUGCCAAAAAGGGAAAAAAGACAGAUUAUGAAUAGCUUUCUAUCUCCAAGGUGAUUCUACUAUAAAUGGAAUAAAAUGUAUGAAUAGAAAGUGCAACCAUCUAAUCUUGGCCACACAUGUGGUUCUAUGGCAUCCUUAACUUGGCAUCCUUAGAAUCACUGAUUAGAUGUUAGCCAUGUGCUGGAAGACAGUCUGAUCUUUGCACAAUGACUACUUUGUAUAAUGUCUACUGUAUAUAGAUAUUCCAGUGGACAUCAACUUAUUUAAAAAAUAAGUUAAUGUUUUAAUUGGGAAGAUAAAGCAAAAAUUCAUCAAUAGCUAAUGAAAAAUGCAGUGUUAAAUAAAUGUUAUGUUGGAAAGCAAUAUUAAAUUAUUUAAUAGCAUCCUUAAUAGAUUUUCUUCAGAUGUGUGAAGGAUAAUUUCGAACAUUUUCAUACACAUACUUUCGGUAUUAGCUGAUGCUUUGAAGGAGAAGUAUAGAAACUCAUGAGGUAAGGGACUUGCAUAGGAUGAUGGACUGUACUGUUGAGUUAAGAUGACAUUGUGGAUUGAUGGCAGUCCAAGUAAGGUACAUUAUAGCACCAGAGGAGGGCUGCAAAUGCCACCGUGUACCUCUCAGUUAUAUCAUGGACAAAGAUGUCAUUCAUUUCUGCAGUAUAGACUCUUAAAAAAAUAUUUAUGAAGAGAAUACCUGAAAAGUAACCAACAGAUUCAUAUUCAAAAGAUUAUUCCUCCUUACAACAUUUGUACAGCUUUAAUGGUCCACUUUGAACAUUCAAGUAGAUGUCAUUGUGAGAAACAUAAUUCUUUGUAGUUAAAAUGCCUCUUGUUUAGUUCUAUCCAAAAUGUUAUUAAGUACUGUUCUAUGCUAAGCAUUCAUGUGAUCAUGUUGUUAGUGAUACCUCCUUAAUGACAUUGACUGCUAUUUUUGCUUCCUCUGUUUUCUCCAUAUCACCUGACAUAUUGGUCAUUAAGUUAAUAUUACUGUUUAACAGUUUUCUACAAUAGAGUUAGGUGUAUCAAAUUCAUGACAUAUGAGCAAUAUACAGCAAAGUAUAACUACAAUGUGACAUAAAACAAAAUUGCAAGCUUACUUAAAACAUAAUGAGAAUUUUUGUGUAUGAGUCUUUUUUGUUUUUUUUUGGUUUUUUGUUACAUCAGUUUUGAGGUUCUAGAAUAUGAAUUUUGAGGGUGAUAUUGUGUCCCAAUGUCAAAAGUUUAGGCAUGUCUAGUUGGGUGUAUAAGGGCAGAGAUUUGAUUUGUGAUUUUGCAAUUAUAUAAACUGGAAAAAUAAUAGCACCUUACUAUAUAACACAUUUGAUAUAGGUUUACUGAAUGAUAUAAUGAAGGCAGUAACAGUAAUACUUACAUCAUAGGUGAAAUGAGAGUAAAGUGAUAUGUGUUAUGUCAAUCAAGGGCUGACAUAUAUGAGCUUUUAUUAUUCCUAAGAUCAAGUGUCCACAGUCUACUUGAUUGUGGGAAGAUGCUAAUGAUUUCUAUACAUUAUAUGGUACUGCUUUCUUACAGUUGGAGAAGGCAUGCCCCAGAGAUGAAAAAUAGUGACUAUCCCUCCAAGUGUAAACCCAAACUGAAUGUUUUACUGAAGGAAAAACAGUUGCAUUUUCUUUUAUUUUUUUUUUUAACAUUCCUCACAUCUUGUUCAAAGUAUCAGCUUUGCAUUUGAAUGACACUAUGUGUGCAAAAGUUUAUUUCAUAUUUCAUAUUUUUAUGAUGAUUUUAACAAGUAUUAUCCUAAAUGCCCUUUUAAAUCUUUGUAUUGUAUUAAUAAUGAGUGAUGGGUUAGCAUUCAAUCCAGUGAAAUUUUCAUUUUGAACUUUUAAAUUUGUAUGAUAUUUUCUUAGCACAUAAGUUAGAGAAAAAUAAUUGUCAAAGAGAAAAUUGGAAGUUUAUUUCUAAAUAGUUGUAGUUGCACAAGCACUUAGAGAAAUAUAUUGAGCUGAAUUUAUUCUGGUCACUUGUUUGAGCUCCAACAUGGCACUCACAAUAAGAAAUCAUAGCUAAUGUAGUUUCUCACAUGUUGGUUUUCUUAGCUAACAGAGUUUGUGUUUCACAGUCCAUGGUCAACAGUCUCCUUGACUGUCUUUGUAGUGUUAUUCAAGACUGGUUCCAGCAAGUCUCUGUGUGUCUUCAUUAGAGUAGGAUCUGUUUCAGAUUUUGUUACGGAGUCUCACCUUCCUGUGUCUGGCAAUUAAAUAAGUAUAUGCAGAAUAAAUGAAUAAAUAUAAUCUAUAGACCAGGGGCUCCCCGGGGCUAAGGCAUCUCUAAGUUUUAGUGUAUAACUCAGAACCUGAAGCCUAAGGAAAGCACACAUGGUAUAUGAACCAUGUUCACCCCUGUUUGUGGAACAGAACAACAUGAAACUAUGUAUCUGAGGAGAGUCUCUGAGCCUGAGUGAUUCAUGGGUUGGUAUCAGUGCUUCUUUGGAUGUUUUGGUACACACAUCUCCACCUAUUGAAUAUUCCAGAAGGAAUGGCUGAAUGUGACUACAUAUCACAACUUGCCCAGAGGGUGGUGAGCCUCCCCAAGGAGGACUACAUAAAUAUGUGAGGUCUGAUGCUUCAAGGCAGUUCUCUGGGAGACAGUGACUAGAUGUCGUUGGAACAUGGAAUUAUUUGCAAAAUUUGGGACAGUUUUGGUGCCUGCAGGACUUGUCAAAACAUUGUCAGGACUGUCAUCUCCAGGUGGGUACAAAAAGUUUGGAAAGUUAAUUGGCUAUUUCCUGGAUUAAGCCUGGAAAUAAAGCACAGCAGGAAGCUUCUUAGCUUUUGCCCGUUUCUUCAGUCAUUUAUAUUUCUUAAUGAAAGGGUUUUAAUCUUACUUGGAACAUUUUAAUCAAAUGUUUCUGGCCACAUAGGCCAUAUCCAAAUUGCCUGUUAUCAGAGUAAAGCAUUUCAGUUAUUAAAUAUGUCGAGUGGAAUCCCAAAAUCCUUGUAAGAAGAAGCAGGAUUUUAAGAUCCAUAUUUACCUUAUCCAUCUAUAUUUCUGUAGCAUACUUUAUGUCACCUUUAUUUCUUUACAGCUUUCACAGAAAACCCCAAAUAUAUGGGCUUAAGAUUACCAGAGGAAGAAUGCUCUAAAUAUUAUCACCAAUGAAAAUGACAAGGGGUUUACUGUUCUCUUAUCUCCUUCAUAUAAUUUUCAUUUCAUACUUAACACACUGAGAUACCACCUUUACAACUGAAGACAGGACAGCUUGACUCAGAGACCAGAGAGAUGACUUCACAACUGAGAGUACUUAUGGCUCUUGCAGAGGAGCCUGUCUUCCUUCACAGCACCCACAUUGCAGCUUAGGAUUCUCUGGCAAUCCAGUUGCAGGGGAUUUGAUUCCAGUUUUUUUUUGGCUUCUGUGGGCUCUUUGCAUGCACAUGGUACACAUUAACUCACAUAAGCAUGUAAACAUUCACAUAAGUAAAUAUUAUUAAAAAUAACAAUUCAUUUUCAUUUCCAAAUGAUGCUAUCAUUACCAUUUGUCAUUGAUUUUUCUUCCAGAAAAUAGUCCCUACCAUUAUAUGUAUGCUCAGCUCAUAUAGAGUCAGAGAUCAUUGCUAAUGUGUAAAACACAUAAGAUGGAGAACAUAUUGAAAUAAUAGCAUAUUAUACAGUUUCUGGGGCUUUCUGAAAUUUUUGUAUUUCACUCAUUUCAUCAUUUCAAGAUCUUUCUGUAUAUAUAUAUAUAUAUAUAUAUAUAUAUAUAUAUAUAUAUAUAUAUAGUAUUUAUGGUAUAUUGAAUUACAUCCAUGCUAUAAAUUUCCAUGGUAUAUCACACUAACUAUAUAUAUGAAGAUUUCAGUUGUCUUUAAGUGUUCACAUACUUAAAGAAUGUUGUAAUGAGUAUCAUUGGGAUUUAGAUGAGUUUUUGUAUGCCUCAAAUUAGAAUUCUCAGAUCAUGGUGUAUACGUAGUUCAGAAUCUGAGAAAUAUUGUCAGGCUGGAGCUUUCAGUCAGUGGUAGAACCAUUGUCUUAACAGGAAUGAGUUACAGGGUUUGAUCCCCAACACACAGUUCUGUCUCUGUCUCUGUCUCUGUCUCUGUCUCUGUCUCUGUCUCUGUCUCUGUGCCUGUCUCUGUGGCUGUGUCUAUCUCUUUCCCUGUGUCUCUGUGUCUAUCUCUGUUUCUGUGUCUUUUUGUCUGUCUCUGUGUCUCUGUGUGUGUCUGUCUCUCUCUGUCUCUCUCUCACUCACUCACAUAAAUACACACAAUUGCUUUAGAAUGCAUGCUUAAAGCAAUACUGUUAAAAUAAUUCUCUAAACUUAAACUCUCAACCAUGCGAAUUUUAUAUUAAAUAAGUUUGGCUUUUUCAGGUGUAAUUAGGUAAAAGGAGAACCUGUUCUAGUUUUUUUUUCUAAUGUCUUGUGUGACACCUUGUAUAAUCCUCAUGUAUUUACUGACCAGAUCCAACUUCCGUCCCUUAGAUUGCCUACUACCUUUCUAAUUCCAACUUAAUAAGCAAUGGAAAGAAGGGCACAGUAACCCCAAUUAUGCUCAGUCAGUUUUAAUGUAAUCAUAAUCAAAACCUAUUGCCAUAGAGCAUUUUUCUCCCAGCUCAUUUAUUCAACAUUUUCUUCUUUUGUGAUUCAACGUCUGAUUUAGUAUAGUCCCUGGGACAUAUGCCCUGGGACUGGGGACAAAAUAUGUGAUGGUCACCAUGCUCCCACUCAUAAAGCUUAUAGUGCAGAGGAUUUUAUCACCAUCCACAGGCAUGCUUUAUAGUAGCAUUGCUACCCUUUUCAAAAGUACUGAUGAUUUUCUCUUUACUUAAAAAAAAUGGUGUCCAGUAAUACAUUAUCAUUAAUAGACGUGGCAUUUAUUGGCUGUGGUGCGUGCAUAUACACACACACACGUUAUAGAUGUAUAUGAACAAAUGUUUAUUCCAAGGUAUGUUCCUGAGUUAACAAAAUAAAAGGAUGAAUAGAUACUUCUCUCAUCAUUCAAGCCUGAAUCCUGAUGGCAUAAUUUUUCCCCUGCUAAUGAUACAUCAGGCCCCUCAUCAUUUCCCUAUUGUUGUUGAGUUCACAUAUCUCAAAGAACUUAAAGAUAUUAUCAUGUAAGCACUGAUACCUUCUAAAAACUUUAAAAAUAUAAUUCAAUGACAGAGAAACCACAUUUAUUGAUGUUUAUUGAGUGUUUAUCCAUGAUCUCUAUGUGAAAAUAGGCAAGGAAGCAUGCCUGCAAGUUGUCAGAUGCUCAUAUAUCAAGUGGUGCUAACGCAAUUGGAAGCUAAAGACAAACAGCUCCAGGUGAGCUUGAAGACGGCAGGAACAAGACAAGCACCACUGCAUCCCUCAACAGGAAUUCUACUAAGAUUUUUUUUUCUACACUUAAAUUUUGUACUCUCCAUGGUAGCCUUGUAGCAUGGCUAUUUAUAUGCCAAUUUUAUAAAUGAAAAAGGUUAAGAACUCCCUAAGGAAUAUGUAGUCACCACUUGCCCCAGAUGACCUUUUAAUGCAAUUUCUUGGCUACUGCCAGUAAACUGAAAACAUUAUUGAUGUCAUUAUCAGAGGGGAUACUGAAAGAUUUUAUGGAGUAACUGGCAGGGGACCCCUUCUGCUUUCAUAGUCCUUAGACACAAGACUCUGACAGUAAACAGGGUAAUGAAGAAAAUUUACAAGUUACUGGGGUGACCUUUAUGAAUGAAUCCCUAUUUCUUCUGUUCAUGUUAGUAUUGGAAAAGGGAUA